Molecule: non-coding RNA, 414 nt
Organism: Plectropomus leopardus (leopard coralgrouper)
Lineage: Eukaryota; Metazoa; Chordata; Actinopteri; Perciformes; Serranidae
Source: RefSeq, a predicted model, not a curated record
CGACCUCCAGGUGUGUCAGUGCACCUGUGCGACCAUCAGGUGUCGGUGUAACUGUGUGAUCUCUAGGCGUGUCAGUGUACCUGCGUGAUCUCCAGGUGCACCUGUGUGACCUUCAGGUGUGUUGUUGACAGUUGAAGGAGUCAAAGCAGGCGGUAAACAGUAUCCGGCAGUUUGUGGAGGAUGACGAUGACGAAGACGAGGUGGAGAAGGUCAGCUGGAGCGGAGAGCCCGUCGGGAGUAUCUCCUGGUCGGUCAAUGAGACGGCAGCAUCCAGUCAGAGGACAGACAGAGAGCCCGCCUUCCCCAAAAUCACCACGGAGACAACGACCAUCAGCAGGAGUCAUUCAGGAUACUCUCUGAGCUCCCUGUUCAAAGGAAAAACUAAAGGAGGAAACUUCCAGUCAUUCACUGAAA